AAUCAACGCUGGCGGCGUGCCUAACACAUGCAAGUCGAACGCGAAAGCCCGCAAGGGUAAGUAGAGUGGCGCACGGGUGAGUAACACGUGGACAACCUGCCUUCGAGUGGGGAAUAACCUUCCGAAAGGAGGGCUAAUACCGCAUAACACCUCGGGACACAAGUUCUGGGGUUGAAAAGAGCAAUUUGCUCGAAGAGGGGUCCGCGCCUGAUUAGCUAGUUGGUGAGGUAACGGCUCACCAAGGCUUCGAUCAGUAGCCGUCCUGAGAGGGAGCACGGCCACACUGGAACUGAGACACGGUCCAGACUCCUACGGGAGGCAGCAGUGGGGAAUUUUUGGCAAUGGGCGAAAGCCUGACCAAGCAACGCCGCGUGGGUGAUGAAGUAUCUUGGUACGU
RNAcentral lists this ribosomal RNA (397 nucleotides) under uncultured bacterium. RNAcentral describes it as "bacterial SSU rRNA". It matches the Rfam family "Bacterial small subunit ribosomal RNA", at positions 32 to 426 of the family's 1533-position model. The record is from RNAcentral.